GACGAACGCUGGCGGCGUGCUUAACACAUGCAAGUCGAACGGAAAGGCCCCUUUGGGGGUACUCGAGUGGCGAACGGGUGAGUAACACGUGAGUAACCUGCCCUUGACUUCGGGAUAACUUCAGGAAACUGGGGCUAAUACCGGAUAGGAAUCCUUGCUGCAUGGUGGGGGUUGGAAAGCUUCGGCGGUUUUGGAUGGACUCGCGGCUUAUCAGCUUGUUGGUGGGGUAGUGGCUUACCAAGGCUUUGCCGGGUAGCCGGCCUGAGAGGGCGACCGGCCACAUUGGGACUGAGGUACGGCCCAGACUCCUACGGGAGGCAGCAGUGGGGAAUAUUGCACAAUGGGCGGAAGCCUGAUGCAGCAACGCCGCGUGCGGGAUGACGGCCUUCGGGUUGUAAACCGCUUUCAGCAGGGGCGAAGCUUGUGGUGACGGUACCUGCAGAAGAAGCACCGGCUAACUACGUG
Molecule: ribosomal RNA, 465 nt
Filed under: uncultured bacterium
Lineage: Bacteria
Description: partial 16S ribosomal RNA
Rfam family: Bacterial small subunit ribosomal RNA
Source: RNAcentral